GGCUCAGGAUGAACGCUAGCGACAGGCCUAACACAUGCAAGUCAGGGGCAGCACAAGGAGCAAUCUGAGGUGGCGACCGGCGCACGGGUGAGUAACACGUAUGCAACCUGCCUGUAAGCGGGGAAUAACCCGUUGAAAGACGGACUAAUACCGCAUAAUACUAAAUUACUGCAUGGUAAUUUAUUUAAACAUUUAUGGCUUACAGGUGGGCAUGCGCAUGAUUAGCUAGUUGGAGAGGUAACGGCUCCCCAAGGCAACGAUCAUUAGGGGUUCUGAGAGGAAGGUCCCCCACACUGGUACUGAGACACGGACCAGACUCCUACGGGAGGCAGCAGUGAGGAAUAUUGGUCAAUGGACGAGAGUCUGAACCAGCCAAGUCGCGUGCAGGAAGAAUGUCCCUAUGGAUUGUAAACUGCUUUUGCAGGGGAAUAAAGUGCAUCACGUGUGAUGUUUUGUAUGUACUCUGCGAAUAAGGAUCGGCUAACUCCGUGCCAGCAGCCGC
Molecule: ribosomal RNA, 502 nt
Filed under: uncultured bacterium
Lineage: Bacteria
Description: bacterial SSU rRNA
Rfam family: Bacterial small subunit ribosomal RNA
Source: RNAcentral